Humulus lupulus (European hop) is the source of this 987-nucleotide long non-coding RNA. RefSeq lists it as uncharacterized. Lineage: Eukaryota; Viridiplantae; Streptophyta; Magnoliopsida; Rosales; Cannabaceae. The transcript has 2 exons. The record is from RefSeq and is a predicted model, not a curated record.
UUGGGAAUUAAGUUUGGGAAGUUUCCCCUUUCCCACUAGCUAGGGCAUUUCGACCACUAUAGUGUUUAAAAGGAAAAGAAUGAACUUGGAGGCUCAUUUGUGGCUGUCUAAUUUCCAAGAGGGGGAGAGAGAGAGAAGGAAGGGAUUUCGAACCUAAGAGAGAAAAGGAGAAAAGAAGCAAGUUGUUAUCCCCAAAAUUUGAAAACGAAGACAUGGCAGUAGAGGUGACAAAUGGCAAAGAAGGGCUGGCUAAUCUGGCUUGGGAGUGAUCCGGUGGACCGGUGAAGAUUUUUGACUGACCGGUCAAGAGUCAUGACCGACCAGUCAUGUGCUUGACCGACCAGUCAAGUGUCAUGACCGACUAGUCAUGUGCUUGUCCGACCAGUCAUGUGCUUGUCCGACCAGUUAGGUGCUUGUCUGACUAGUCAAGUGUUUGGCCGACCAGUCACUUGUCUUGCCUGACAAGUGAGAAUGUGGCCGACCAGUGAAGUGUUUUGGCCCUUCAAUUUUCCUCCUGGGUGUGAUAUAGACCGACUAAACAGAACAGUGCUACGCAAAAGAUCCCAAUAACGGUUUCAACAAGAAUCGGUCAUACCUGCGCGGGAAUCUCUCAUUUUAUCCCGAAGAAGUAGUAUAUUGUUGUAUUUUGAAUAUUAUUAUUAAUUAAAUAUAGUAAGAAUAACAAAAUAUCCCGAUUAUGGGGGACUUCAUUUGUACGAUCUUGAGCCUAUAAAUACAAAGCUCAUGGCAUCAUAAAAGGGAUUCAGAUUCUAAUUUUCCAGAGAGAGUAUUUGUAUCUUGAGAGAAAUCUUGUAUUCUUUUCAUCUUCACUGAAGAAACUCAGUUGACUCAGGUUCAUCAGAUCUUGAGUGUAGAUUCAUAAUCAUAACUCUAAGUGGACUAGGCUAUUACCAACACAUUGAGGCUGAACCACUAUAAAAAUUGUCUGUGUCGUAUUUUUCUAUUGAAGGUUUUUUGUCGUUUUGA